UAGGGAAUCUUCCGCAACGGGCGAAAGCCUGACGGAGCAACGCCGCGUGAGUGAUGAAGGUCUUCGGAUCGUAAAACUCUUUUAUUAGGGAAGAACAAAUGUGUAAGUAACUAUGCACGUCUUGACGGUACCUAAUCAGAAAGCCACGGCUAACUACGUGCCAGCAGCCGCGGUAAUACGUAGGUGGCAAGCGUUAUCCGGAAUUAUUGGGCGUAAAGCGCGCGUAGGCGGUUUUUUAAGUCUGAUGUGAAAACCCACGGCUCAACCGUGGAGGGUCAUUGGAACCUGGAAAACUUGAGUGCAGGAGAGGAAAGUGAAAUUCCAUGUGUAGCGGUGAAAUGCGCAGGGAUAUGGAGGAACACCAGUGGCAAAGGCGACUUUCUGGUCUGUAACUGACGCUGAUGUGCGAAAGCGUGGGGAUCAAACAGG
This 429-nucleotide ribosomal RNA is filed under the name Actinomycetes bacterium. RNAcentral describes it as "Actinobacteria bacterium partial 16S ribosomal RNA". It matches the Rfam family "Bacterial small subunit ribosomal RNA", at positions 355 to 776 of the family's 1533-position model. The record is from RNAcentral. Lineage: Bacteria; Bacillati; Actinomycetota; Actinomycetes.